This is a long non-coding RNA of Passer montanus (Eurasian tree sparrow), 976 nucleotides long. RefSeq lists it as uncharacterized. The transcript is spliced from 4 exons. The record is from RefSeq and is a predicted model, not a curated record. Lineage: Eukaryota; Metazoa; Chordata; Aves; Passeriformes; Passeridae.
GGGGCCGCCCGCCGCUGCUCUGCCCGCUGCGUUCUUUUCGACUUUUUCCCUUUUCCAUUUUUCUUCCCUUUCCUUUCUUUUCCUUCCCUUCUUCCUGAUUAGACAAAUCACCGGACCUGCAGAGAGGUGAAAGACAUGUAAAGACAUAGUCCAGGAACUCAAAAAUGUGCCAAAGGCUUCUAGCAAAAAAAGGAGGAGUUGAGUAUUCAAUAUGAGACAGCUUUGCAACAAUGCAGAUGUCUUCCUGGCAAGAAGGAGACCCCACCUUUGAUGUUUAACUACCAGCAGCCACUGCACAAGGCAGGAAGAGAGUAAGCAAAUCCCAGUGCAGAGACUUUGCAUAGAGAGAACGUGUAUUUUACAUAUGCAUAAUGGGGGUUUAUAAACCUGGAGCAGAAAACAGAAAUGUUGCAUUGAGAAGGUAAGAGCAUAAAGAAAGAAUUUGCCAUCUAGCUGCUAAUAAAAUUCUAAGCUUCACAGACGUUUGGGCCAAAGCCCAUGAAUUAUUUAUUCUUGUUACCUGCAUAAUGUAGGUCACAACCUCCCUGUGUAAUUAGGCUAAACAGUACCUACUUCUAUUUCAGCUCUGUAAUAAAACAUUUAAGGCAACAGUUCUGAUUUCAGGACUUGAAGGAUGGAGAGCUGAAAACAUGCCCAAACUGGGGCUUUCCCUCCCUUCCUCGUUCUGAGCUCUGCUCAUUAUAUUCUGCAUGGAACUGCUGCCUCCUCAGCCUUUUUUUUUGCAGCCUGGAGUCCAGCAGACUGACAGCACUUGCUGAGUACUUGCACAUAGCAAAGUGGUAUUUUACUUAACCCUUGGAAAAGCUAAGCCGACAAGACUUCCUUCUUUCUGUAAGAUUUUCCAGAUUAACUUUGUAGCUUUAAUUGUCUCUGCCUGGGGUCUUUUAGGGGUUGUGUUGGUAAAGCUUCAGUUCAUGUGUGUAAGGUUUAUUCAAUGAUUAAUGCUAAAAAUCAA